Molecule: ribosomal RNA, 479 nt
Filed under: Alternaria malorum
Lineage: Eukaryota; Fungi; Ascomycota; Dothideomycetes; Pleosporales; Pleosporaceae
Description: eukaryotic LSU rRNA
Rfam family: 5.8S ribosomal RNA (bases 125-278)
Source: RNAcentral
CCUGCUGAAUUAUUCACCCGUGUCUUUUGCGUACUUCUUGUUUCCUGGGCGGGCUCGCCCGCCACCAGGACCCCCCAUAAACCUUUUGCAAUGGCAAUCAGCGUCAGUAAAACAUAAUCAUUACAACUUUCAACAACGGAUCUCUUGGUUCUGGCAUCGAUGAAGAACGCAGCGAAAUGCGAUAAGUAGUGUGAAUUGCAGAAUUCAGUGAAUCAUCGAAUCUUUGAACGCACAUUGCGCCCUUUGGUAUUCCAAAGGGCAUGCCUGUUCGAGCGUCAUUUGUACCCUCAAGCUUUGCUUGGUGUUGGGCGUCUUUGUCUCCGGCUUGCCUGGAGACUCGCCUUAAAGUGAUUGGCAGCCGGCCUACUGGUUUCGGAGCGCAGCACAAGUCGCGCUCUCUUCCAGCCAAGGUCAGCGUCCACCAAGCCACCUUUUUUACCUUUGACCUCGGAUCAGGUAGGGAUACCCGCUGAACUUAA